This 2252-nucleotide long non-coding RNA is filed under the name Homo sapiens (human). RNAcentral's name for it is "NOVA1 divergent transcript (NOVA1-DT)". The record is from RNAcentral. Lineage: Eukaryota; Metazoa; Chordata; Mammalia; Primates; Hominidae.
CGGCGACAAUUUUGGCUAGUCUAAGAAGGGCAUUCGAGUGACCGUUGACAACGGGUGGGACAGCGUCAGAGCUGGAGGGAGAGCCAGCACUGUAUGCUUCCAGGACUUCUUGCUAGGUGCAUUAGUUUUUAUUUUUAAGAGUUGGGUAAAAGACAUUAAUUAGUUAGCAUCUCACUCAUCGGCGAUUUUCUACGGUAUGAUUUCAUCCAAAGAGGAUUUCUUAAUCGCACUGUGUGACACCGUUAGGGGACUUAGAGUGUCACUCGCCGCCUUAAAUCCUUUCGGGAACAAGCCAGGAUAUAAAUAAAUAAAGCUAGGUGUGGGUCUUCCCUUCACAAGGCGCUGGUAGGCAGACUAAAGACAGGCAACAGCUGAGUGUGCACACAGAACUAAAUAUUGAACGAAAUACGAGUGUCGGAAUAAAAUUCAUUGCCAUGUGCACGGCUUAUGAUUAUACAGAUCUUGGACAUAUCACGGACCUGAACGUCAACCCUGCAACACCGGAUAAAACAUCUAAUGUAGCUGGAAUAGACUCUGAAAGGACGUUAGGCAUUAUCUAAAUCAAGUCCCUCAUUUUACAGAUGAGUAAACUGACUCAGUGAAGUAUUUUGCUCAAGGUCGUUCAUCAAAUUAGUAGUUUAAUUAACUCAGUGUUCUAGGAAGCAGGGUAGUAGAAAAGCAUGGGAUUCGGAGUCUGAAAUCUUCCUUGGUUUCUGGUCCUUGUAGGCUGUUUUACAAGUGUAUCUUGGGCAAAUCCCUUAACGUCUUGCCAUUUAUUAAGGGCUUACUUACCACGUGGCAAACAAUCCACUUUGCAUGCUGUGUCAAUUACAUGCAGUAUGUCGUGUAGUUAUUACUGUCCCCAUUUUAUGAGGUAGUUUAGGUUUAAAGAUAUUAGAAAUUUACCCAAAGUUACGCAGUUAUAAACAUUGUAGUAAUUUCAAACUCAGGUCUUCGUGACUGCAAAGGCUGCUGUCUUAAGUAUUGUAAUACAUUAGAGCUCCGGAUUCCCUCCCACUCAAAACAGAGACUGAGACUCCAACCAAUUUCCACCAUUAUUGGGAGUCAAACGAGAGAGACUGUGGCAAUGUAUUCUAAGCUGUACAAAGGUAUAAACAUAUUCACUAGAUUUGUAGAAUGAAGUUAUUCCUUCCCUAUACUUUCCACUACAACAAUUCAGCCAAAAAGAUGGCUUUCAUACUAAGCAUAAGAAGGAACUUCACUGUAAUUAUGAUAUUCUAACCAAGAAUAUAUGCAUAUCUAGGCAAUAACCAAAGUGAAUAGAAUAAAAUUUAAUUCCUGAUAGAUUAAAUAGGCAAUAGCAAGGAAUGCUAACGCUCCUCAUAGCGUUCUUGUUGGAAGAAUCAUCUAGGAGGCAUUGGGAUUUCUGGUGCUUUUUAAGCAAUGAGAGAUAUCAGUCCACUGAAUGAGGAAGAGAAUAACGUUUAGUUUCGGACUAAAAGUUCAUCUGGACUACGGAAAACACGUUUGCCUCAAUCAGUGAAGAAGGUAUGCUGAGAGCUGAAAGAAAAGGAAAGCAGCAACAGUGAGAGCUCAGAAAUUCCCAGACUGUUUUGAUGAUAAGGUCCAAGAACUUGCCAUGUGAUCCAUCACUACUAGACUCCCACAACUGCAUUAGAUUUGUUCAGGAUUUUCAUAUAAUUUUCAUAACUGGCUAAGGAUUGUUUUCUGCUGGUUGCUUUCUGAAAUUCUACUGGACCUAAUGCCAAAAGAUGAUCAAGAGGAGCAUGAAAAAAUCCCCUGAAUCCAUUGGCUUUCUUCCCUAUACUGACAACAGUUUACUUGUGUAAGAGAUGCAUGCCUCGACUCCGGACCCCUUCUUUCAUCUGCAAAAUCAGCAGCACCCUCACAUCAUCUCCUGUAACAAACUCUCUCUGUCUCCUCCAUAUAAGGUCACUGAUGGUUACAUUUAGGGUCCAUGAUAUAAGAAGAUGGAUGUCUAUUGCUUUUCUCUUGAUAUUCAUGGCACUGCUCCUCUCCAUCCAUAGGAUUAUCUUAUUCAAGUUGGUGUGUAUCUGCAAAGGCGAUGGAAAGGAGUUCUUACAUAUGCAUAUUCUGAAGAAGGAUGUUACCCUUACUGAAAAACUUAUUCCAAGAUAUGUUUAAUCAAUCAUGAGAAAAAUAAAGAGACAUCCUUAUGAAUGGAGAAUAAAGUCCUCAGGGUUUUUUUCUAAUUCCCCAUGUGAAUGAAGAGCUGUGUUAUUCUAAAUAUAGUGUUUGUCAUAAGGCAA